Molecule: transfer RNA, 79 nt
Filed under: Salmonella enterica subsp. enterica serovar Newport str. SL254
Lineage: Bacteria; Pseudomonadati; Pseudomonadota; Gammaproteobacteria; Enterobacterales; Enterobacteriaceae
Also listed under: 16 other names
Description: tRNA-Arg
Rfam family: tRNA
About the family: Transfer RNA (tRNA) molecules are approximately 80 nucleotides in length. Their secondary structure includes four short double-helical elements and three loops (D, anti-codon, and T loops). Further hydrogen bonds mediate the characteristic L-shaped molecular structure. tRNAs have two regions of fundamental functional importance: the anti-codon, which is responsible for specific mRNA codon recognition, and the 3' end, to which the tRNAs corresponding amino acid is attached (by aminoacyl-tRNA synthetases). tRNAs cope with the degeneracy of the genetic code in two manners: having more than one tRNA (with a specific anti-codon) for a particular amino acid; and 'wobble' base-pairing, i.e. permitting non-standard base-pairing at the 3rd anti-codon position.
Source: RNAcentral
GCCGCCACUAGCUCAGCUGGAUAGAGCAUCAACCUCCUAAGUUGAUGGUGCGAGGUUCGAGGCCUCGGUGGCGGUCCAA